Phyllostomus discolor (pale spear-nosed bat) is the source of this 1492-nucleotide long non-coding RNA. RefSeq lists it as uncharacterized. The transcript is spliced from 2 exons. Lineage: Eukaryota; Metazoa; Chordata; Mammalia; Chiroptera; Phyllostomidae. The record is from RefSeq and is a predicted model, not a curated record.
GAGAGACCAAAAGCAGCUUUGCUGGAAAGGCCCACGUAACUCCACAGAGGAGGAUAGGGAGGUUAAAAAUAUGAAUUCUGGAGCCAGAAUGUCCGGGUUCCAAUCCCAGAUCCCCCACUCACUGGCUGUGUGACUUUGGGCAAGUUGCUUCACCUUUCUGUGCCUCAGUCUCCUCAGCCCCAAAUGAGGAUAACAACGAUACCUACAUAGAAGGCUAUGUUCAUUGUCAUUCUUCAUCUGGUGCCUGGAGGCUUCUAGGAACAUCAGAUGGAAAAAUAUCCCAUGAUGCUUCUGGGCUCUGGAGCAUGCUGUGCCUUCUGCCUGGCCAGCCUCCCCUCUCUGCUCCCACUGGAGCAUCCUUAUUUGUCCUUCAGGACUGACCUUUGGGCCACCUCCUCUGAGAAGCCUUCUCAGAGCUCAGGGACCUGCCCUGAAUUCCCACAGCCCUUGUGUGUGCACAUCCCCCACAGCUGGGACGGGUUCUUCUUUGUCCACCUCCUCUUAUCCCUACACCUGUCUGGGCGGCAAAGCUCCUGAUUUCUCUUGGGGUACCUGGGGUACAGCAAAGCACCAGGCACAGAGGAGGCUAGCUGAAACUGGGACAACUAAAUAAAUCAAGUAGAACUGUCUGGGAGACUGGUCCCAGGAAACCCCUUGCCAGAACACAGGAUAGGGAAUGGGGAGGGCGGGUGCAGGCAUGGAGGAAGUGGGGUUCAAGCAGAAGCCACAUUUCCCAUGGUCCCGACAGAGCAGCCACAGGGGAGCUUCCCUGAGAUAAGGUGUCUCUAAUCUGAGCCCAUCAGAGAGCAAUAACAAUUAAAAUAGUCACCAACAUUAUUUUAUAUUAUGUAUGUUUAUAUUUUAUAUUAUUUAUAUGCAUUUUAUAUUUUAUAUAUAUUAACCUAUCUAUUCAACCAAGCCAUGAGGGAGAAAUUAAUAUCAUCCACAUUGCAUCAACAAGGAAACCCUCCACAGGGAAGGUAAGUAACUUGCUCAGGGCCACACAGCCAGGAAGCAGCAGGAUGAGCCCUGAUCCCAGGCCUUCUCCCUCCAGAGCCUGGCCUUUUGACAAGUCUGCUGCUAUGAGCAAGGAGGAAUCUUCCCAGCAACAUUCAUGUGUUUGUUCUAGAACAUUUGGGAAACAGAGGGAAGGAUAAAAGGACAAGUUCAUCCCAAGCCCUGCAAACAGAGUCUCCAGGAGACAGGGGCUUCUCAGGGCUCAGGGAGGGAGCUCCCUGUCUGAGCAGGUGUGACCCAGGGGAGGGACCACACUAGUCAGAAUGGUUCAUGGACUGGAGAGCUGGCUGCACCAGACCAGUGGUCUCCAACUGGAGGCACUUCUAUAUUAGGAUCGCACGGAAAUGUCAUUAGAAAGACAGAUCCCUGGGCCCCAGCACAGGCUUACUGAAUUAGAUUCUGAGGAUAAAGAGCCUGGAAUCUGAGUUUGUGACAAGCUCCCCAAACCUGAAUCAAUAAACUUUGAGACCCACUG